This is a small nucleolar RNA of Neomonachus schauinslandi (Hawaiian monk seal), 129 nucleotides long. RefSeq annotates it as small nucleolar RNA SNORA3/SNORA45 family. The transcript has a single exon. NCBI's taxonomy places the organism in Eukaryota, Metazoa, Chordata, Mammalia, Carnivora, Phocidae. The record is from RefSeq and is a predicted model, not a curated record.
UCUGUGACUUUUUUAAAGAGUAUUUUGUUUUUGUCCUGGUGUGCUAGAGUCCUCAGAGAGAAUCUGCUGGUCUUGAUUCACUGGCGAGGGCAGUCAGUGCCCCCGGUAGUGCCCAGAUCAGAAACAUGC